This 1251-nucleotide long non-coding RNA is filed under the name Mytilus galloprovincialis (Mediterranean mussel). The record is from RNAcentral. Lineage: Eukaryota; Metazoa; Mollusca; Bivalvia; Mytilida; Mytilidae.
CAAAAAAAACCAUUUAAAUUGAGUUGUAAAUCUAGUGAAAACAAGACCUACAUGUAUAAUUGUUAAUUUCUGUGUCAUUUGAUCUCUUGUGGAGAGUUGUUUCAUUGGCAAUCACAGGGUUCUCGUUAAGGAUUUUUGAAGGCGAGUCCAGGGACUCGUCAUUUUUGGCCAUGGUGAGUCCAACAGCAAGGAGAAGAUAUUGUAUUGCAAUAUAAUGUAAUAUUUAAGUCUCCAUGGCCUAACAGAGCAAUGAAAUGACAUUAAAUUCUGAUUACUUUUAAACUUUUGCUAUAAAAUGAUGAUACAUGUAUUUGUAUUUAACUGUGUUUAGUUUAUACAUGUUAUACAAAAUAUUUCUAUCUUGAUGCAUCUGUGGACUCGCUAGUUUUGAAAAUGAUGAGUCCAGACAGAUUUUGAUGAGUCCAGGACUCAUGGACUCGCCUUAGUGAGAACCCUGAAAUUUAAUUGAAUCAUACCAUAUCUUCCUUUUUAUAUGGCCAAACCAUCGCCUCGAUUAAAAAAAAAUUGUACCAUUAAUAACAGUGUUCCAGCUAGCAUGAAAUGGAGGGGCGCCGCGCCCCGCCCCCGAAAUUUUGCGCCCCUCUGCCUUUUUUAAGCGCUACUGCGCCCCUCUGUGCCCUUUUGAAAAAAAGUUUAAAAAAACGAUCUUUUUUCCUCAUAUCGUCGCCAUUUUGUUGAGGUCUUUAUACACACACUUCAUUAAGACAACAGAUUAAAAUUGUUGACACUUGUUACCUGUAUAUAAUCACCUAUUUGAUUAGAGUCAAUUACUUAAUCAGGUGAAAUUUACGACCCUGUCUAAUCCCUUUGCCCUGAAGCACCAAACAUCGAAGUUAAAUGAAUUGAUUAUUUUAACACCUGACGAUGCAAAAUAGAAUUUAUAAAAUAAAUGUGAACGGUAGAACAGUGUUCAUUUCUAUUGUAUUUGUUAUUUAUAAAAUAACGUUCAUUUAAAAAGAAUCAUUCCAAUAGGUCAACACGCAAAAUGCCGACGAAAAAAAGAAAAAUUGACCAACUCGGAAAUGACAAGAAAAAAAUAUCAAAGACUUGCCAGUCUAUUACAUCUUUUUUCAAGAAUAAUGACCAUCAAAAGUAAAAAAAUAAUUUAAUUCUUUACCUUUAUGAAAAAUCGAGAAAAAGAAAGGUUUUUAUCAAAUAUCGCAAUUGUUCUUCUAUUGUAAAUUCCGCCGAUUACGGAGCACUCGAAAGUCCGAUUUUUAUAUCAUUUUU